UGCACACUGCCUGGCCGAUAACCAACCAACCGCUCAGUUUAUCUCAAUUCUUAAGCACUACGUUCGCUGCGCACUGUUCACGAUACUCGAAAUAAUUAUUUGUUGUAACUUAAAUAACUUAAAUAACGCGAACUCAUAAUCUGAAUAAUUUCUGACAGAUUUUGAUCAUGAUUCUGGACCCGUUACCGAAUACCAACUCGCACUGCUUGUUCACGGAAUAAUCUUCCCCGGGUAGCCUUCUCGGGUCCGUUCGUUCCAUUAUCUUAUCCGGCGUGUCCAGCAAACAGUCCCCCUUUCCGGCCCUGAAACGAAUUUCACGAGACUUGAACGGGUCGUCUGGAGGGGGGCUCGUGCAUCAUUCGAGGACCGAAUUUUUGUCGGAAACGGAUGGGAUCCGCGGCGGUCAUUCAGAAAUGCAGCGGAACCGGAUUCCUAAGCGAGGAGUCGCCUUCUUCGCAGAAAAAUUCACGGCAGAAUCGAGAGUUGUCCGAUCGAAUCCAAUUUGGAUUUCUUCCCAACGGGUGCAGUGAGUCAUGAUUUCUCCUAGUUUUCCCAUUUUCUCAGUCUCUCUAAUAUAAUAUAAAAUGUAAUAUAAUAUUCGAGUAACUUGGAGGAAAAAUGACACGAUGAUAUUUUCAAUUUGAGAAGAGUCUGGAUAAAUUUUAGUCUAUUAGUUGUUGAUUUUAAACUUGUUAUAGUAUAAAUAAUUUAUGCUUUCUUUA
Long non-coding RNA from Apis cerana (Asiatic honeybee), 722 nucleotides. RefSeq lists it as uncharacterized. Lineage: Eukaryota; Metazoa; Arthropoda; Insecta; Hymenoptera; Apidae. The record is from RefSeq and is a predicted model, not a curated record.